UACAGAGGUGGCAAGCGUUGUUCGGAAUUACUGGGCGUAAAGGGCGCGUAGGCGGCUUUCUAAGUCAGACGUGAAAUCCCCCGGCUUAACCUGGGAACUGCGUCUGAUACUGGGAGGCUUGAAUGCGGGAGAGGGAUGUAGAAUUCCAGGUGUAGCGGUGAAAUGCGUAGAUAUCUGGAGGAACACCGGUGGCGAAGGCGGCAUCCUGGACCGACAUUGACGCUGAGGCGCGAAAGCUAGGGUAGCAAACGGG
RNAcentral lists this ribosomal RNA (253 nucleotides) under uncultured bacterium. Its description in RNAcentral is "partial 16S ribosomal RNA". It matches the Rfam family "Bacterial small subunit ribosomal RNA", at positions 524 to 776 of the family's 1533-position model. The record is from RNAcentral.